RNAcentral lists this ribosomal RNA (484 nucleotides) under uncultured bacterium. Its description in RNAcentral is "partial 16S ribosomal RNA". It matches the Rfam family "Bacterial small subunit ribosomal RNA", at positions 30 to 507 of the family's 1533-position model. The record is from RNAcentral.
AUUGAACGCUGGCGGCAGGCCUAACACAUGCAAGUCGAGCGGAUGAAGGGAGCUUGCUCCUGGAUUCAGCGGCGGACGGGUGAGUAAUGCCUAGGAAUCUGCCUGGUAGUGGGGGAUAACGUCCGGAAACGGGCGCUAAUACCGCAUACGUCCUGAGGGAGAAAGUGGGGGAUCUUCGGACCUCACGCUAUCAGAUGAGCCUAGGUCGGAUUAGCUAGUUGGUGGGGUAAAGGCCUACCAAGGCGACGAUCCGUAACUGGUCUGAGGGGAUGAUCAGUCACACUGGAACUGAGACACGGUCCAGACUCCUACGGGAGGCAGCAGUGGGGAAUAUCGGACAAUGGGCGAAAGCCUGAUCCAGCCAUGCCGCGUGUGUGAAGAAGGUCUUCGGAUUGUAAAGCACUUUAAGUUGGGAGGAAGGGCAGUAAGUUAAUACCUUGCUGUUUUGACGUUACCAACAGAAUAAGCACCGGCUAACUUCGUG